This 133-nucleotide unclassified non-coding RNA is filed under the name soil metagenome. Its description in RNAcentral is "partial internal transcribed spacer 1". The record is from RNAcentral.
UCAAAACAGCGGCCUUCGGGCCUCGCUGCACCCUUGUCUUUUGCGCACCGUAUUGUUUCCUCGGCGGGCUUGCCUGCCGGUUGGACAUCAUAAAACCUUUUGGCAUUCUGAAUCAUAACUAAGAAAUAAGUUA